UACAGAGGAGCCAAGCGUUGUCCGGAUUGACUGGGCGUAAAGCGCACGCAGGCGGUCUGGCGCGUGGGGUGUGAAAUCUGGCCGCUUAACGGCCAGGCGCCAUCCCAUACGGCCGGACUGGAGGGCUGCAGAGGUCGAUGGAAUUGCCGGUGUAGUGGUGAAAUGCGUAGAGAUCGGCAGGAACACCAGUGGCGAAGGCGGCCACCUAGCCCGCACCUGACGCUGAGGCGCGACAGCGUGGGGAGCGAACUGG
This 253-nucleotide ribosomal RNA is filed under the name uncultured bacterium. RNAcentral describes it as "partial 16S ribosomal RNA". It matches the Rfam family "Bacterial small subunit ribosomal RNA", at positions 524 to 776 of the family's 1533-position model. The record is from RNAcentral.